GUCUAUGCACACUGACAAGUAGCCUGAGGGCUUGCUGUUGGGUGGGGCUGGUGCCUAGGGCAGGCUGCCUGCCCCAGUUGAACUGGAUUAAAUCUGUGCUCUAGUGGGUGUGGCCAACCCCCCUGGUUUUAAGGCUAGGGCAAGAACUUCACUGGCGUCUGCCAGCGUCUGUGUCAGCGUGCCUGUACUAGGUUACAACAAUAGCCCCCACCAAUGUCUCAGUCUCUGGUGAGGUCUCACCUCUCACCGAGAAGCACCCAGAGCCUACCAGCUUGGACUUGACAGAGCAGUGAUUUAUAACUCCUCCCUUGCUUCUUUCUCCAUGGUGUAAUUUCAGAGCGCAGUGACUGUGGAAUCCAUACAGCACAACAUUUUGUCUACGGCUCCACAUCAUUUGGGCUGCAUCAGCAGCAAGUCAAAAAAUCCAACU
Molecule: long non-coding RNA, 430 nt
Filed under: Equus caballus (horse)
Lineage: Eukaryota; Metazoa; Chordata; Mammalia; Perissodactyla; Equidae
Description: lncRNA (ENSECAG00000057355.1)
Source: RNAcentral